GAGUUUUUAAACAGCUCAGGAUGAACGCUGGCGGCGUGCCUAAUACAUGCAAGUCGAGCGAAUGGAUUAAGAGCUUGCUCUUAUGAAGUUAGCGGCGGACGGGUGAGUAACACGUGGGUAACCUGCCCAUAAGACUGGGAUAACUCCGGGAAACCGGGGCUAAUACCGGAUAACAUUUUGAACCGCAUGGUUCGAAAUUGAAAGGCGGCUUCGGCUGUCACUUAUGGAUGGACCCGCGUCGCAUUAGCUAGUUGGUGAGGUAACGGCUCACCAAGGCAACGAUGCGUAGCCGACCUGAGAGGGUGAUCGGCCACACUGGGACUGAGACACGGCCCAGACUCCUACGGGAGGCAGCAGUAGGGAAUCUUCCGCAAUGGACGAAAGUCUGACGGAGCAACGCCGCGUGAGUGAUGAAGGCUUUCGGGUCGUAAAACUCUGUUGUUAGGGAAGAACAAGUGCUAGUUGAAUAAGCUGGCACCUUGACGGUACCUAACCAGAAAGCCACGGCUAACUACGUGCCAGCAGCCGCGGUAAUACGUAGGUGGCAAGCGUUAUCCGGAAUUAUUGGGCGUAAAGCGCGCGCAGGUGGUUUCUUAAGUCUGAUGUGAAAGCCCACGGCUCAACCGUGGAGGGUCAUUGGAAACUGGGAGACUUGAGUGCAGAAGAGGAAAGUGGAAUUCCAUGUGUAGCGGUGAAAUGCGUAGAGAUAUGGAGGAACACCAGUGGCGAAGGCGACUUUCUGGUCUGUAACUGACACUGAUGCGCGAAGGACGCCC
Molecule: ribosomal RNA, 776 nt
Filed under: Bacillus cereus
Lineage: Bacteria; Bacillati; Bacillota; Bacilli; Caryophanales; Bacillaceae
Description: bacterial SSU rRNA
Rfam family: Bacterial small subunit ribosomal RNA
Source: RNAcentral